RNAcentral lists this long non-coding RNA (556 nucleotides) under Mytilus galloprovincialis (Mediterranean mussel). Lineage: Eukaryota; Metazoa; Mollusca; Bivalvia; Mytilida; Mytilidae. The record is from RNAcentral.
UAAUUUUUUUAUUGGAUCUCCAAAAAAAAAAUGGUAUCAACAGUCCCUGUUUUUGACACAGGCUUCUGUUAUUCGACAUAAUAAUUUAUCUAACUUGCUUCUACUGGCACAGAAAGCCAGUAAAACAUUUUAUUAAUGUCAAAAGGUAUUCCAAAUAGGUUAAAUUCAAGAAAUUUGCACAGCAGGUGCUUCAAAAACAUUGCAAAUGGCUGCACCUUCGGUAUUUGAAACUAAUUAUGGACCCGGACUUGGAAAAAUUAUGAUAAAUUUCCAGAUUUCGCUACAAUGUCAAAAUAAAAAAUGUAAAAAAAAAAAAAGAAUACUGACCUACCGACCCUAUUUUUUAAAAUGAUGUUACCGGAAACACACAUUUUUUUUUUAGGCCUAAACAAAGUUACAAAAAAUUUUAAUGUUUCAGAAACCAAGGAAAAUAUAGGACUAAUGUAUGGAAUCCUGCCUCAAUGUACAAAAGUUCUUUUUCAGUUUUAAAUGAGUCAAAGAAAAUUUAAAGUGUUGUCUGGAGUCAAGAGUAUUUUUUUUUAACAAUGGUAAUCAC